AUGUACCACUCGUACACUGCGGUUCCUGCGCGCCGCGCGCACCCGCCUGACAACCGCUCGCUACGCUUUGUUGGCC
This 76-nucleotide small RNA is filed under the name Pseudomonas oryzihabitans. Its description in RNAcentral is "sX9 sRNA". It matches the Rfam family "Xanthomonas sRNA sX9". The record is from RNAcentral. Lineage: Bacteria; Pseudomonadati; Pseudomonadota; Gammaproteobacteria; Pseudomonadales; Pseudomonadaceae.